AGCUGGGCAGGAGCUCUGUGCAGUUCGUAGGCUAUAAUGUUAUGGCUGAAGUGAAAUGAGUAGCCUACUGCUCGCGUCAAUGAAAAUAUUACGUUUGUAACGUCAGUAGGUCUAAUAUACUCGUGUAACUACUAUCCUGCUGAUUAAGUCAUCUGAUUAUCGAGAUUUUUACGUUCUUUCCAUGUAGUAAUGUAUGAUCUUACAACGGGACGUCCCGUUAGCUGGGCAGGAGCUCUGUGCAGUUUGUAGCCUAUGGCUGAAGUGAAACGAGGUCAACGAAAAUAUUACUAGGCCAAUUUGUGUCAAUUCAAAAACACUUAUUUAUCCCCAAGGGGCAAUUUACAUAGUAGGCUACAAUGGAGUGGAGUACAAUAAUCAAAAAUCCUAUAAAUAUCAUUGUUUAAAAUACAGUAGGUACAGUCAGUGUAAUGUAAUCUUGUAACUAUCCUGCUGACAUCUGAUUGAGAUUAUUACCUUCUUUCCAUGUAGUAGCCUAAUAUGUGAUCUUACAACUCUGGUAACUAAAACUGGAGACAUUUGCUACUUUGUGCUACCUGCUCAUUCAAAAUUACGAAAUAACAGCAGGGAAAUUAUGUUUGUUUUUACAGGUUAUUAAAAGAAUGACCCAGGUUCCUGAGGAGCUGACCUGAAUGACCAUUAUGGCCUCAAUCCGUUGUGCCUCUAUAUUCUUUGCAAAAUGCAAUGAAUAUUUACAGAGCUGACCAUGGCCGUUUGAGAAUCAGAGGAAUGGAAAGGCAAUGAAGUGACUUGGCCUACAGGUCUUUUGUGAGCAGGAGCUGGGGUUUCCUUAGAAGAAGCGUCCGUGUCAUGAUCCCCUUGUGUGUGGUGCUACGCAUAUGGAGGGAGCUUCCGGAUACUUCAGGGCAGUACGUUGGAUUCAGACCCCUUUUCGACUGAACCGUGACACAUGUUCAGCAACAGCAUCCUCCAUGGAAGGUCUGUCAAGCUGAGCACACAAGUCCUGGGGCACAGGAAUCCGCUGGACGGCAUCCCAAUAAGGAAGAGGGUCUUUGAUGAUCUCGAAGAGGACAAGAAAGAGGACUUAUAUUGGAUACUGUAAUACAGUGCAUUGUAGGCUGUAUACUGUACAAUAAACAAAUUGUAUGGCCCUGAA
Long non-coding RNA from Alosa sapidissima (American shad), 1135 nucleotides. RefSeq lists it as uncharacterized. The record is from RefSeq and is a predicted model, not a curated record. The transcript is spliced from 2 exons. Lineage: Eukaryota; Metazoa; Chordata; Actinopteri; Clupeiformes; Clupeidae.